Molecule: ribosomal RNA, 427 nt
Filed under: uncultured bacterium
Lineage: Bacteria
Description: partial 16S ribosomal RNA
Rfam family: Bacterial small subunit ribosomal RNA
Source: RNAcentral
UGUGGAAUAUUGCACAAUGGGCGCAAGCCUGAUGCAGCCAUGCCGCGUGUAUGAAGAAGGCCUUCGGGUUGUAAAGUACUUUCAGCGAGGAGGAAGGCGUUGUGGUUAAUAACCGCAACGAUUGACGUUACUCGCAGAAGAAGCACCGGCUAACUCCGUGCCAGCAGCCGCGGUAAUACGGAGGGUGCAAGCGUUAAUCGGAAUUACUGGGCGUAAAGCGCACGCAGGCGGUCUGUCAAGUCGGAUGUGAAAUCCCCGGGCUCAACCUGGGAACUGCAUCCGAAACUGGCAGGCUAGAGUCUUGUAGAGGGGGGUAGAAUUCCAGGUGUAGCGGUGAAAUGCGUAGAGAUCUGGAGGAAUACCGGUGGCGAAGGCGGCCCCCUGGACAAAGACUGACGCUCAGGUGCGAAAGCGUGGGGAGCAAACA